Molecule: non-coding RNA, 359 nt
Organism: Salvia hispanica
Lineage: Eukaryota; Viridiplantae; Streptophyta; Magnoliopsida; Lamiales; Lamiaceae
Source: RefSeq, a predicted model, not a curated record
GAUUAAUGAAACUUGGUGUUUAGCUUAGGACAAAAGGACUUCUCAUUUACUUAUUUUGGUUGAUUGUGUGACUAGGAAAGGCUACUUCGCAGGGCUGUUUUGGAGGGGAGUAAAAUGGCAGCUUUGACUUGCUAUUUUUGGAGGAAGAAACAACUUGGCUGCCACUUAGCUGUCUCGGAAAGUGGGCUCGCUGCCCUGGGCUCGGCGGCUGUUCAGAUACGGGCCGCGACUUUCGGCCCGAGAGAAGAGGCCCGAUGACAUUUGUUCCAUGCACAUUUUUUUGUUAGCUGUUCAUUUUAUUGUCUAUGUAACGCUAUUAAAAAAUUCUUUAUAUUCUACAACGUAUUUCCAUUUGUUUA